RNAcentral lists this ribosomal RNA (501 nucleotides) under Pseudomonas sp. RNAcentral describes it as "bacterial SSU rRNA". It matches the Rfam family "Bacterial small subunit ribosomal RNA", at positions 59 to 555 of the family's 1533-position model. Lineage: Bacteria; Pseudomonadati; Pseudomonadota; Gammaproteobacteria; Pseudomonadales; Pseudomonadaceae. The record is from RNAcentral.
CAGUCGAGCGGUAGAGAGAAGCUUGCUUCUCUUGAGAGCGGCGGACGGGUGAGUAAUGCCUAGGAAUCUGCCUGGUAGUGGGGGAUAACGCUCGGAAACGGACGCUAAUACCGCAUACGUCCUACGGGAGAAAGCAGGGGACCUUCGGGCCUUGCGCUAUCAGAUGAGCCUAGGUCGGAUUAGCUAGUUGGUGAGGUAAUGGCUCACCAAGGCGACGAUCCGUAACUGGUCUGAGAGGAUGAUCAGUCACACUGGAACUGAGACACGGUCCAGACUCCUACGGGAGGCAGCAGUGGGGAAUAUUGGACAAUGGGCGAAAGCCUGAUCCAGCCAUGCCGCGUGUGUGAAGAAGGUCUUCGGAUUGUAAAGCACUUUAAGUUGGGAGGAAGGGCAGUAAAUUAAUACUUUGCUGUUUUGACGUUACCGACAGAAUAAGCACCGGCUAACUCUGUGCCAGCAGCCGCGGUAAUACAGAGGGUGCAAGCGUUAAUCGGAAUUACU